CAGCCGCCGCGGUAAUACCGGCGGCCCGAGUGGCGGCCACUAUUAUUGGGCUUAAAGCGUCCGUAGCCGGGUUGGGAAGUCCUCCGGGAAAUCUGGCCGCUUAACGGUCAGAAUGCCGGAGGAUACUCCCAGCCUAGGGAGCGGGAGAGGCCGAGGGUAUUCCCGGGGUAGGGGUGAAAUCCUAUAAUCCCGGGAGGACCACCUGUGGCGAAGGCGCUCGGCUGGAACGCGUCCGACGGUGAGGGACGAAGGCCAGGGGAGCAAACCGGAUUAGAUACCCGGGUAGUCCUGGCUGUAAACGAUGCGGACUUUGUGUCGGACAAGCUAUGAGCUUGUCCGGUGCCGGAGGGAAACCGUUAAGUCCGCCGCCUGGGGAGUACGGCCGCAAGGCUGAAACUUAAAGGAAUUGGCGGG
This 414-nucleotide ribosomal RNA is filed under the name uncultured microorganism. RNAcentral describes it as "bacterial SSU rRNA". It matches the Rfam family "Archaeal small subunit ribosomal RNA", at positions 459 to 872 of the family's 1478-position model. The record is from RNAcentral.